This 65-nucleotide transfer RNA is filed under the name Alpheus lobidens. Its description in RNAcentral is "tRNA-Gly". The record is from RNAcentral. Lineage: Eukaryota; Metazoa; Arthropoda; Malacostraca; Decapoda; Alpheidae.
GUUUUUCUAGUAUAUAAGUAUAGUUGACUUCCAAUCAACAGGACUGAGACCUCUCAGGAAUAACA